GGAGUUGUAGCUCAAUGGAAGAGCACUUGCCUAGCAUGUAUGAGGCACUGGUUUAAAUUCUCAGCACCA
This is a non-coding RNA of Ictidomys tridecemlineatus (thirteen-lined ground squirrel), 69 nucleotides long. Lineage: Eukaryota; Metazoa; Chordata; Mammalia; Rodentia; Sciuridae. The record is from Rfam.